CUUCCGUGGACCUUCGACCCGGACGGUAUCGUCUAAUGAGAAGAGUAUUUGCCAGCAGCCAAUAAGCGAUCUCUAUUUACGGAAACCGUAAAAGUGCCUACUAUCCUUUCAGAGGAUCCUGGUUCACUUACUAGGACCCACAAUGGGAAGCCUACACCAACCUUGGCUAACUCCAGCUCCAGGGGAUCCAGUGCUUGCUUCUGGCCUCGAAGGACACUCACAGAAAUGUUACAUACCCCACCCUGCAAGAUAGACAAGAUAAGGAUCUGGAUCUAAUCUACCUCCUCCCACCCCCUGGAAAAAACAUUUCAUACCUAAUCUGCCAUGUUAAGAAUGUAUUUCCAAUCUAUAUCUCUACAUUCAAAGCAAAGAGUGUAGAGAAACUAGACAGUGUGACAUAACACCAACUACCUAAGGAAGCGUGUUUUAAAAAGCGUAAUAAUCUUAUAAUCUCAGCACUUUGGAGGCUGAGGCAGGAGGAAGGUAAGUCUGAGACUGGCUGGGUUUACAUCGUGACAUCAUGAUGUCGUGACAUCAUGUCUCAAAAUCCAAAGUAUCUGGGGAUGGAACUCGGCUGGAAAAUGUUUGCUCAUCAAGCACGAAGUCCCAGGCUUGGUUUCCAGCUCCUGCACCUAGAGUGUGAGAGGUACAAGGAGGAGGAUCAGGCAUUCCAAGGUUGCUUAUCUUAGUUUCUUCCCCGUUACUGAGGUAAAAUAUCCUGACCAAGCAACUGUCGCAAGAAUGGCUUUAUUUUAGGUUAGUGAUGAAGAAGCCAAGGCGGGAGGAGCCUAAAGCAGCUAGCUGGUCACAUUACAGUCCCAGUCAGAAGAGAAAUGAACGCCUGCGCACACCUAGCUUUCUUCAUUUUUUACACCGCAGAAUCCGGCCCCAGGAAUCACCUCCCAACUAAGUUGGGCUUUCCCACAUUGUUACUCCACCGCAUCCAAGUCCCAAAGACGACAGCAAACCUGACUGGCUCCCUGUGAUCCCAGUGUUCAGGAGGUGGAGCGGGAGGACAGCCUGGGAUGGAUAGUCACGGAGACCCCAGCUCAAAAUAUCAAAUAAAGACAAAAGCAGAGCAAGACAGAGAUGGUAAAAUAGGUGGGUGUGGUGGUGCAGCCUGCCAUCCCAGCACUGGGCAUGUAGAGGGCAGACGGUCAGGAGUCCAGGCCGGUUCUCUGGCUUACACGAAACCUUGUCAUACACACUAAA
Myodes glareolus (Bank vole) is the source of this 1212-nucleotide non-coding RNA. The record is from RefSeq and is a predicted model, not a curated record. NCBI's taxonomy places the organism in Eukaryota, Metazoa, Chordata, Mammalia, Rodentia, Cricetidae.